AUGAAGUGCUGGGCCAGUUGCUGGGCACCGGACAACAGAACGUUCUGUGACACCGGAAAGGUCCUGUACCUGCCCUGUCCAGCAAGGGAGCCACCAGCCUCCUGUGAGCCUCUACCGUGGGGACUGGAUCUCCCACCUCCGGGAAGCGCCGGCCAGGACCGGGUGCCGAGACAGAAGGCGACCCCGGGGGAGUCGUGCGGACACUCCACUGCCCCUAAACGUCCGGGAGGUGACCCUUCCUGGCCCAGGUGACCCUGACCGGGGCCCAGAGGCCCUGCUCUAACAGCAGAUGCUACCUGGGAGACAGGGCCAGCGCGGACACAGGACUGUGGGACAGUGUGCCUCUCAGUAUGGUUCCUCUGCUCGCCCCUAAAAUGGCCCCUGGUGGCUGAAGGAAUAAACGCGGAGAAGUACCUGGCA
RNAcentral lists this long non-coding RNA (420 nucleotides) under Felis catus (domestic cat). Its description in RNAcentral is "lncRNA (ENSFCAG00000046153.2)". Lineage: Eukaryota; Metazoa; Chordata; Mammalia; Carnivora; Felidae. The record is from RNAcentral.